ACUUCUUUAUCACCGAGUGCUUGCACUCACCGAUAAAGAGUUGAGUGGCGAACGGGUGAGUAACACGUGGGCAACCUGCCCAAAAGAGGGGGAUAACACUUGGAAACAGGUGCUAAUACCGCAUAACCAUAGUUACCGCAUGGUAACUAUGCAAAAGGUGGCUAUGCUACCGCUUUUGGAUGGGCCCGCGGCGCAUUAGCUAGUUGGUGGGGUAAAGGCUUACCAAGGCAAUGAUGCGUAGCCGAACUGAGAGGUUGAUCGGCCACAUUGGGACUGAGACACGGCCCAAACUCCUACGGGAGGCAGCAGUAGGGAAUCUUCCACAAUGGGCGAAAGCCUGAUGGAGCAACGCCGCGUGGGUGAAGAAGGUCUUCGGAUCGUAAAACCCUGUUGUUAGAGAAGAAAGUGCGUGAGAGUAACUGUUCACGUUUCGACGGUAUCUAACCAGAAAGCCACGGCUAACUACGUGCCAGCAGCCGCGGUAAUACGUAGGUGGCAAGCGUUAUCCGGAUUUAUUGGGCGUAAAGGGAACGCAGGCGGUCUUUUAAGUCUGAUGUGAAAGCCUUCGGCUUAACCGGAGUAGUGCAUUGGAAACUGGGAGACUUGAGUGCAGAAGAGGAGAGUGGAACUCCAUGUGUAGCGGUGAAAUGCGUAGAUAUAUGGAAGAACACCAGUGGCGAAAGCGGCUCUCUGGUCUGUAACUGACGCUGAGGUUCGAAAGCGUGGGUAGCAAACAGGAUUAGAUACCCUGGUAGUCCACGCCGUAAACG
RNAcentral lists this ribosomal RNA (770 nucleotides) under uncultured bacterium. RNAcentral describes it as "bacterial SSU rRNA". It matches the Rfam family "Bacterial small subunit ribosomal RNA", at positions 69 to 808 of the family's 1533-position model. The record is from RNAcentral.